Molecule: non-coding RNA, 54 nt
Organism: Salmo salar (Atlantic salmon)
Lineage: Eukaryota; Metazoa; Chordata; Actinopteri; Salmoniformes; Salmonidae
Source: Rfam
CACAUUAUGACUUAUAAGUCGCUCUGGAUAAGAGUGUCUGCUAAAUGACGUAAA